Strongyloides papillosus is the source of this 63-nucleotide non-coding RNA. Lineage: Eukaryota; Metazoa; Nematoda; Chromadorea; Rhabditida; Strongyloididae. The record is from Rfam.
UGGUAGUAUAGUGGUGAGUAUCCGCGCCUGUCACGUGCGAGACCGGGGUUCGAUUCCCCGCCA